GGAAUGAGAACGCUCAAGUUGUUCUGUUGUUUCUUGUGUUUUACUACAUCAUAAACAAAACCAUGUGAUCUGCACAGAAAAGACGCAGACGCCACUGGAUUGGACACAGAGUGUGAACAGA
This is a long non-coding RNA of Sphaeramia orbicularis (orbiculate cardinalfish), 121 nucleotides long. RefSeq lists it as uncharacterized. The record is from RefSeq and is a predicted model, not a curated record. Lineage: Eukaryota; Metazoa; Chordata; Actinopteri; Kurtiformes; Apogonidae. The transcript is spliced from 3 exons.